GUGGAUCUAAUGAUGGACCCUGGGAGGGCUCACACCAAGGAGUACUUUCUAGAACUUCUGCUACCAGUGUCCUCGUCCACACAGUGAGCUACAGCCACACUCUGCCUUGGCAGGAUACCCUCCAGCACUAUCAGGAGCAAUCCAUUCCCGGAAGGUCCGGACGGACAGUCAUCCUGGUCUGGCUGAAUCCACAUGCACACCUGUGCUCUCACGCAUCUUCUCUUCACAAUGUUCACCAGCCAGGCAGAGUGAGCUCUACUCAGCAUACUCCUCAAAUGCUGUUUGGAUGGUGCUGUAAAAAUGACACGCACUGUUGUUCGUUUCACCUGUUCUCAGCACUGAGCAUUGUGGAAAUUACUGUUUCUGGAGACAACAUCUGUUCUUAUUAAAGAGAAGUCCGGUGUUCUCUGGGGCCAGCUAGGUGUUCCAUUAAAUGUGAUCCAUGCUGCAAGUUCAAGGUAUGACCUAGAGUCAAGAUGAAAGAUUGUGUACAGUCUAUGAAAUAUCUGUGGUUCUCACCACUCCUAGUUACUAAGCACUGAUGUUAUCUAACCCUUUGUGGCAUAUCUGUUGGACUUUUAAAUCUUUCUAGAAGAUAAUCUCCUUGGUGUGCAAUACUAUGCUGGUAGAAUUGUUGGAUUUUGACUCACUGCAUAUCUGCAAAGCUGACUUGAGGGCUCCUCAAAGAUGUGGAAACUAGUGCAAACAUGCUUGGAUAUUUGCAAGAAGUAAGCAAGAAGUCGGCCAUCGCAAGGAAAGGAUGGGCAUAACACUGAAGCUAUGAACACUUAAAAUGUUUCUUGUGAUAAACAAGACAGAAAAUGUCUAACACAAUUGAAAAUGUCUAACACUAAUUUCCAAAGAAAUGAGUGAUAAGCUAGAUGCCUUUCCAGAUGCCUUAGCAAAGAAAAUCAUUAUUAAAAUAUUGUAUAAAUUCCCAAAGCUGAAACAAGCCUAAGAGGAAUAUAAGUUACCUUAGGAAAGAGAACGACUCUCUUCUGUCUACUCUCAGUAACUCAUGCCAUCUCUUCACAUCUACAUCAUUCUCUGGCUUUCUGUAUACCCACACUAAAAUGGUAGCCACUAAGCUCAUGUGAAUAUUUAGACAUAAAUGUAAAUUAAUUAAAAUUAAAUGAAAUUUAAAUGGUUCUGAAGAACCUAGGGUCAGGACAGGAAUAAAGACACAGACAUGGAGA
Molecule: non-coding RNA, 1196 nt
Organism: Delphinapterus leucas (beluga whale)
Lineage: Eukaryota; Metazoa; Chordata; Mammalia; Artiodactyla; Monodontidae
Source: RefSeq, a predicted model, not a curated record